Molecule: ribosomal RNA, 338 nt
Filed under: uncultured Beggiatoa sp.
Lineage: Bacteria; Pseudomonadati; Pseudomonadota; Gammaproteobacteria; Thiotrichales; Thiotrichaceae
Description: bacterial SSU rRNA
Rfam family: Bacterial small subunit ribosomal RNA
Source: RNAcentral
GUAAAGCACUUUAGGCUGGGAGGAAAAGUUAAUAGUGAAUAGCUAUUGAAAUUGACGUUACCAGCAGAAUAAGCACCGGCUAACUCUGUGCCAGCAGCCGCGGUAAUACAGAGGGUGCGAGCGUUAAUCGGAAUUACUGGGCGUAAAGGGUGCGUAGGCGGUAUAGUAAGUCGGAUGUGAAAUGCCCGGGCUCAACUUGGGAACUGCAUUCGAAACUGCAAUGCUAGAGUACAGUAGAGGAAAGUGGAAUUCCAGGUGUAGCGGUGAAAUGCGUAGAUAUCUGGAGGAACACCGGUGGCGAAGGCGACUUUCUGGACUGAUACUGACGCUGAGGUACG